RNAcentral lists this ribosomal RNA (699 nucleotides) under unidentified eukaryote clone OM19. Its description in RNAcentral is "partial 16S ribosomal RNA". It matches the Rfam family "Bacterial small subunit ribosomal RNA". The record is from RNAcentral.
CGAGUUUGAUCAUGGCUCAGGAUGAACGCUGGCGGUAUGCCUAACACAUGCAAGUCGUACGAGAGUUUUUAACUCAAGUGGCGGACGGGUGAGUAACACGUGAGAAUUUGCCUUUAGGAGGGGGAUAACAGAGUGAAAACGCUGCUAAUACCCCAUAUGCUUUCUAGUGAAAUGGAUUUAUUCGCCUAAAGAGAAGCUCGCGGCUGAUUAGCUUGUUGGUAAGGUAAUGGCUUACCAAGGCGACGAUCAGUAUCUGGUUUGAGAGGACGAUCAGACACACUGGAACUGAGACACGGUCCAGGGAACUCUAGAAAGACUGCUGGUUAUAAACCGGAGGAAGGCGGGGAUGACGUCAAGUCAGCAUGCCCCUUACACCCUGGGCUACACACGUGCUACAUUGGGCGAGACAAUGAGACGCAAACCUGCGAAGGCUAGCUAAUCUAUAAACUCGUUCUAAGUUCGGAUUGUAGGCUGCAACUCGCCUGCAUGAAGGUGGAAUCGCUAGUAAUCGCUGGUCAGCAUACAGCGGUGAAUUCGUUCCCGGGCCUUGUACACACCGCCCGUCACACCAUGGAAGCUGGUUAUACCCGAAGUCGUUACUCUAACCGUUUGGAGGAGGAUGCCUAAGGUAGAAUUAGUGACUAGGGUGAAGUCGUAACAAGGUAACCGUACUGGAAGGUGCGGCUGGAUCACCUCCUU